Molecule: transfer RNA, 68 nt
Filed under: Marmota monax (woodchuck)
Lineage: Eukaryota; Metazoa; Chordata; Mammalia; Rodentia; Sciuridae
Description: tRNA.Val
Rfam family: tRNA (bases 5-65)
About the family: Transfer RNA (tRNA) molecules are approximately 80 nucleotides in length. Their secondary structure includes four short double-helical elements and three loops (D, anti-codon, and T loops).
Source: RNAcentral
GGAUUGUGGCUCAGUGGUAGAGCACUUGCCUAACAUGUGUGAAGCACUGGGUUCGAUUCUCAGCACCA